Molecule: long non-coding RNA, 406 nt
Filed under: Ornithorhynchus anatinus (platypus)
Lineage: Eukaryota; Metazoa; Chordata; Mammalia; Monotremata; Ornithorhynchidae
Description: lncRNA (ENSOANG00000049400.1)
Source: RNAcentral
UCUCUGAGGAGUGCAAGUGAUUACUCUGAGGGAGAGGAGGCAAGCGGACCUCUUAAAUCACUUUUAUCUGCAAGCUUCUGUUACAUGAUCAUACCGGACCAGAAAUUCCAAAUUCAACCUCUCGAAAACCACUCGAGCCAUUCCCGUUGUGCAGAGAUUAUUAAUUCAAUUUUAUUAAGCAACAUAAGCUACUCAUUUCAUUUCAUGUAACAGGGGAGGAGACCUGUUCUCUUCAGUAUAGAGGAAGAGAGAGCCAAGAUUCAGCCUGUGAUCAGCAUGCUCAGGGCCAGAUGUGCAAACAGGAUAAUCAUCUUAGGAAAAUCACACUACAGUGAGAGAAGAAACCUGUCGAUUUCUUCACUCUGUCCCAUCCACCGGUACCACGUCAGCAUUCAGGAAAGCUGAA